RNAcentral lists this unclassified non-coding RNA (272 nucleotides) under Leptospora rubella. Its description in RNAcentral is "partial internal transcribed spacer region". The stretch from base 1 to 46 matches the Rfam family "Eukaryotic small subunit ribosomal RNA", at positions 1786 to 1831 of the family's 1831-position model. Lineage: Eukaryota; Fungi; Ascomycota; Dothideomycetes. The record is from RNAcentral.
AAGUCGUAACAAGGUUUCCGUAGGUGAACCUGCGGAAGGAUCAUUAUGAAUCAGUAGCUUGCUACUAUGCUGGGGUAGACGGGAAAGUCCUAGCUGAAAAGCUAGAGUGCCGGUACCUGUACCCCUAUCAUACCCUUGUCUUUUUGAGUACUUAUGUUUCCUUGGUAGGCUUGCCUGCCAAAAGGACAAACUUGAAACCUAUUUAAAUAUCAAUCAGCGUCUGAAAAUAAAUUAAUGAAUUACAACUUUCAACAACGGAUCUCUUGGUUCUG